GGUGUCUGUAUCUCGGCUGAGGAUUUUUGGGGGCGAAAUGGCCCAAUGCUCAGCCUGAGUAUUUAUCCAUCCGUUCAUCUUGGGAAGCACUUAGGAGGGUGAGGCUUGACAAAGUGCUAUGAUUAUACUUAAGCACUUUUUUUUCCUCAACUCCAGAUGUACAGUGUGUGCAGUGAUCACAAAGGGGAGUACAAAAAAAGCGAAGCGUUGGUGUGGAGCAGGACACAGAGAGGUGUGUCGCUGCAGCGGCUCCGGUCCAGGGUACGACACCAGAGCUCCCAGAGGAACGUCAAACAGCACGGCCACUGAGGCUCACCCUGUUCCACAUAACAGAGAUUUUUACUUAACUUGGAUCACGAACCCCCCCUCUGAGGACCGACAGCAGCCCCCUGCCCCCUCUUGGGAUUCGAACCAUCAGCCUCUGUGGAACACAAAAGUGACUCUUCCUGCAGGCACUGCUGGGCUGCAGGUAAUUGCCCUGCUGGGUGAAUUGAGGUUACCGCAGUACUCCAAACCGCACUGCCACACAUUUGGCUGCAUAAAUUCUUAAUGUGCAAAUUGUUAAAAGCUAUGCAAAUUGCCCCGGAGGAGGGUAUCAGCUUUGCAAAUAAAUUAUGUAUCGUUCCUGUUCCCA
Molecule: long non-coding RNA, 634 nt
Filed under: Scleropages formosus (Asian bonytongue)
Lineage: Eukaryota; Metazoa; Chordata; Actinopteri; Osteoglossiformes; Osteoglossidae
Description: lncRNA (ENSSFOG00015030752.1)
Source: RNAcentral